UCAGAUUGCAGGCUGAAACUCGCCUGCAUGAAGUCGGAAUUGCUAGUAAUCGCAGAUCAGCAUGCUGCGGUGAAUACGUUCCCGGGCCUUGUACACACCGCCCGUCACACCAUGGGAGUCGGUAACACCCGAAGCCUGUAGUCUAACCGCAAGGAGGACGCAGUCGAAGGUGGGAUUGAUGACUGGGGUGAAGUCGUAACAAGGUAGC
Molecule: ribosomal RNA, 208 nt
Filed under: uncultured bacterium
Lineage: Bacteria
Description: partial 16S ribosomal RNA
Rfam family: Bacterial small subunit ribosomal RNA
Source: RNAcentral